GACGAACGCUGGCGGCGCGCCUAACACAUGCAAGUCGAACGGAGCUAGUUUCGAUAGAUCCCCUUCGGGUGACAUUGGCUUAGCUUAGUGGCGAACGGGUGAGUAACACGUGAGGAACCUGCCCUUCAGAGGGGGACAACAGUUGGAAACGACUGCUAAUACCGCAUAAUGCAGUUGGGCCGCAUGGCUCUGACUGCCAAAGAUUUAUCGCUCUGAGAUGGCCUCGCGUCUGAUUAGCUAGUUGGUGGGGUAACGGCCCACCAAGGCGACGAUCAGUAGCCGGACUGAGAGGUUGGCCGGCCACAUUGGGACUGAGACACGGCCCAG
This 327-nucleotide ribosomal RNA is filed under the name uncultured bacterium. RNAcentral describes it as "bacterial SSU rRNA". It matches the Rfam family "Bacterial small subunit ribosomal RNA", at positions 28 to 334 of the family's 1533-position model. The record is from RNAcentral.